This 236-nucleotide ribosomal RNA is filed under the name uncultured Staphylococcus sp. RNAcentral's name for it is "partial 16S ribosomal RNA". It matches the Rfam family "Bacterial small subunit ribosomal RNA", at positions 104 to 334 of the family's 1533-position model. Lineage: Bacteria; Bacillati; Bacillota; Bacilli; Caryophanales; Staphylococcaceae. The record is from RNAcentral.
GGGUGAGUAACACGUGGAUAACCUACCUAUAAGACUGGGAUAACUUCGGGAAACCGGAGCUAAUACCGGAUAAUAUAUUGAACCGCAUGGUUCAAUAGUGAAAGACGGUUUUGCUGUCACUUAUAGAUGGAUCCGCGCCGCAUUAGCUAGUUGGUAAGGUAACGGCUCACCAAGGCGACGAUGCGUAGCCGACCUGAGAGGGUGAUCGGCCACACUGGAACUGAGACACGGUCCAG